RNAcentral lists this unclassified non-coding RNA (343 nucleotides) under soil metagenome. RNAcentral describes it as "partial contains 5.8S ribosomal RNA, internal transcribed spacer 2, and large subunit ribosomal RNA". The stretch from base 1 to 120 matches the Rfam family "5.8S ribosomal RNA", at positions 35 to 154 of the family's 154-position model. The record is from RNAcentral.
GAUGAAGAACGUAGCGAAAUGCGAUAAGUAAUGUGAAUUGCAGAAUUCAGUGAAUCAUCGAAUCUUUGAACGCACAUUGCGCCUGCCAGCAUUCUGGCGGGCAUGCCUGUUCGAGCGUCAUUUCAACCCUCGAGCCCCCCCGGGGGCCUCGGUGUUGGGGGACGGCACACCAGCCGCCCCCGAAAUGCAGUGGCGACCCCGCCGCAGCCUCCCCUGCGUAGUAGCACACACCUCGCACCGGAGCGCGGAGGCGGUCACGCCGUAAAGCGCCCAACUUUCUUAGAGUUGACCUCGGAUCAGGUAGGAAUACCCGCUGAACUUAAGCAUAUCAAUAAGCGGAGGA